RNAcentral lists this long non-coding RNA (872 nucleotides) under Bos taurus (domestic cattle). RNAcentral describes it as "long non-coding RNA NONBTAT017363". The record is from RNAcentral. Lineage: Eukaryota; Metazoa; Chordata; Mammalia; Artiodactyla; Bovidae.
CUGUAGUGUUUCAUAGUUAGGUUAGGGCUCAGAUGAUACUUUUUAUGUCAGAAUGCAGGCCAGUAUUGCUGUUUUAAACAUUCUUUUUCUGGGAAUAAUUACUUUUUUGUCCUUUUGACAUAGACAUCUGACCCUCAAUUACAUUAAGAGACCUUAUACACAUGAAUGGAAAGAAGAAUAGCCCCUUUUGAAUCCAUGCUAAGACUUUAUCAAUAUGAAGUGCUUCCCACAGGGUUCUGCUGAAAGAACCAAACUUCCAUCAUAAUGAAAUUGCAAAUUCAUUUGUGGAUGCCCUUUUAUAUUUGAAAGCUACUUCUUGAUGUUUGGUCUGCAGUUAGAUUUAUUGUUUAAGGUCACAAAUAAUGCAAUCCUGACUAGACCACGUUGUCAGAAUCCUUUAUUUAGCAUUGCGCAAAGACAAAUGGCUAUCCUUUAACAAUAACAUACCAACACCAAAAUUUGUUCCCAGUUGUACAUAAUCUUUUAAUCAAUCUGUUGCUCUCUGUUUUCCAGUCAAUAGACUCCCAGCCUACCCCCUCACCACCCCAUCUAUCUAGAAAUUACUCAAUUAUGGGUUUUAAAUUACUGAGAAACACUUUCUUCAGAUGAAAACAGAUAAUUGGAAGAAUUUUAAUGCUGUAAUUUUCCCCUGCAUGUUUUUAGCUUAACAUAUGAAUUAUUUUGCCUUUACCCUCAUUCUGAACAGGGUAGAUGCUUAUGUAGUAUGUUAGCUAAAUUCUCUGGUCACAUUCUUACUGUUAACAUGACCGCAAAGUGGAUUAUAGUGCUUAAUUGAAUUCUUAAUUCUUUAAAACAUCUCAGUGCACAUGGAUUAAGUUUUUUCCCUGAGAUUCUAUAAUGUCCUCCAAUAA